GAUGAACGCUGGCGGCGUGCCUAAUACAUGCAAGUCGAGCGAACAGAUAAGGAGCUUGCUCCUUUGAAGUUAGCGGCGGACGGGUGAGUAACACGUGGGUAACCUACCUAUAAGACUGGGAUAACUUCGGGAAACCGGAGCUAAUACCGGAUAACAUUUAGAACCGCAUGGUUCUAAAGUGAAAGAUGGUUUUGCUAUCACUUAUAGAUGGACCCGCGCCGUAUUAGCUAGUUGGUAAGGUAACGGCUUACCAAGGCGACGAUACGUAGCCGACCUGAGAGGGUGAUCGGCCACACUGGAACUGAGACACGGUCCAGACUCCUACGGGAGGCAGCAGUAGGGAAUCUUCCGCAAUGGGCGAAAGCCUGACGGAGCAACGCCGCGUGAGUGAUGAAGGGUUUCGGCUCGUAAAACUCUGUUAUUAGGGAAGAACAAAUGUGUAAGUAACUGUGCACAUCUUGACGGUACCUAAUCAGAAAGCCACGGCUAACUACAUGCCAGCAUCCGCGGUAAUACCCAGGUGGCAAGCGUUAUCCGGAAUUUAUUGGGCGUAAAGCGCGCGUAGGCGGUUUCUUAAGUCUGAUGUGAAAGCCCACGGCUCAACCGUGGAGGGUCAUUGGAAACUGGGAAACUUGAGUGCAGAAGAGGAAAGUGGAAUUCCAUGUGUAGCGGUGAAAUGCGCAGAGAUAUGGAGGAACACCAGUGGCGAAGGCGACUUUCUGGUCUGUAACUGACGCUGAUGUGCGAAAGCGUGGGGAUCAAACAGGAUUAGAUACCCUGGUAGUCCACGCCGUAAACGAUGAGUGCUAAGUGUUAGGGGGUUUCCGCCCCUUAGUGCUGCAGCUAACGCAUUAAGCACUCCGCCUGGGGAGUACGACCGCAAGGUUGAAACUCAAAGGAAUUGACGGGGACCCGCACAAGCGGUGGAGCAUGUGGUUUAAUUCGAAGCAACGCGAAGAACCUUACCAAAUCUUGACAUCCUUUGAAAACUCUAGAGAUAGAGCCUUCCCCUUCGGGGGACAAAGUGACAGGUGGUGCAUGGUUGUCGUCAGCUCGUGUCGUGAGAUGUUGGGUUAAGUCCCGCAACGAGCGCAACCCUUAAGCUUAGUUGCCAUCAUUAAGUUGGGCACUCUAGGUUGACUGCCGGUGACAAACCGGAGGAAGGUGGGGAUGACGUCAAAUCAUCAUGCCCCUUAUGAUUUGGGCUACACACGUGCUACAAUGGACAAUACAAAGGGCAGCUAAACCGCGAGGUCAUGCAAAUCCCAUAAAGUUGUUCUCAGCUCGGAUUGUAGUCUGCAACUCGACUACAUGAAGCUGGAAUCGCUAGUAAUCGUAGAUCAGCAUGCUACGGUGAAUACGUUCCCGGGUCU
This 1373-nucleotide ribosomal RNA is filed under the name uncultured bacterium. RNAcentral describes it as "bacterial SSU rRNA". It matches the Rfam family "Bacterial small subunit ribosomal RNA", at positions 28 to 1381 of the family's 1533-position model. The record is from RNAcentral.